GGAGAGAUGCGAGAGUGGUCGAAUCGGUCGGUUUCGAAAACCGUUGAGCCGCAAGGCUCCGGGGGUUCGAAUCCCCCUCUCUCCG
RNAcentral lists this transfer RNA (85 nucleotides) under Candidatus Gallitreponema excrementavium. RNAcentral describes it as "tRNA-Ser". It matches the Rfam family "tRNA". From Rfam's summary of the family: Transfer RNA (tRNA) molecules are approximately 80 nucleotides in length. The record is from RNAcentral. Lineage: Bacteria; Pseudomonadati; Spirochaetota; Spirochaetia; Spirochaetales.